Molecule: long non-coding RNA, 1024 nt
Organism: Erigeron canadensis
Lineage: Eukaryota; Viridiplantae; Streptophyta; Magnoliopsida; Asterales; Asteraceae
Exons: 2
Source: RefSeq, a predicted model, not a curated record
UGUCAUUCAAUCUAGCCUACCUUGUCUCUUUCUGGUUGAACCAUUUGGUUUUAUAUGUUUAGUAUAAAAUACUCCCCAAAUCAACCCAAUUAUACGUAAAUCGGUAGUUAUAAUUCAUUGUCAUGUCCCUCCUAUAAUUUUGGAUUGCCUUAAUUUAUGAAUUUCACUUGAUCAUGGUUGUAUUCUGAUGAAACUAUUGGCACAUGGAAUCUGAUGAUGGUAUCUUUAUACCGGAGGUUGAUAUUAUUAAGUCAUUACAGAAAUGAAAGUUGACAUGUAAUAUAAUACCGGUGAAAGGCUUCUUCUUACUAGUUGCUUAAAAUAUAUUUUUUGUAUUGUUAUUCGUAUUCUACAUUAUUCUAACAAUUCAAACGUAAUGUUAAAGGUCCAAAUGGGAGUGGGAAAAGUUCUGUGUUUAUGGCUCUCCGUGUUCCUUGGCCUAUUAUCGGUGGACGCAAUGAUAAACAUUCCCGCAAUGUUAAUGACGUGGUGGGUCAAUUCAGUUGUCGUAUAUUAUACAUUCCUCAUAAACCGUAUAAGAUCAAAAUUUCUAUCAUCUCUCACAUGACCAAGCAGAAAAGAGGGCAUUAAGUUCGUAUCGAGAAGGUGGCUUUAAGGUAUCCAGUAGAAUUUGUAGUCAGUGCCUUCUAUCAGAUCCUUUAGUGGAAGAGCUAACAGUUGAAGCAUUUGCAGCUCCUAUCUACUCCAUUGAAAUUCACUUCCUCCGUUUAAAGUUGAUUAUGGUUACAGUUCAAACUACUCAGGCACACCUUUUUCUUAAUAAACCUUUCAUACUUUAUGUACCAUAGAUGGUAAUUGGAGAUGUCUGCCGUAAUAUGUCUGUGCCUAUUUAUGUUAUGCUGGGUAAGUUGAUAAGUUCAGUGAAAUUAGUAAUAUUAUAAGCCUUGAGCUUACAGUGUUAAGUAGUUGACUCCCUGAGUUCGGUGCCAUAUUCUAUUGAAAGUUUAGUAUUAGAGGUGGAACGGGCCAUGCGACCUAAAAGCUUUUUAAAAUUUUCCUUAAA